Pygocentrus nattereri (red-bellied piranha) is the source of this 2222-nucleotide long non-coding RNA. Lineage: Eukaryota; Metazoa; Chordata; Actinopteri; Characiformes; Serrasalmidae. The record is from Ensembl.
AUGUGCAAUAGGUUUGAAUUACACAUGGUUAUUGCAAAUAAUACUUUUUAUUCAUCAUAUUCUUUUCUUGAAAAUUUUCAGCAGCAGUUGACCUCACUGGACCCUGAAGUUCCUAACACCUAUGAACCAGUUCCAGAUCAGAUGCAGGUUAAGAAGCCUGAAACCAUUUAUGCUGCAGUUUCAAAAUCCAACAAACCUGUGAAUGAAGCCAAAGUGAAUGAAGCCGCACCAGAUGUGAGAAAUUAAAGCCACGCUUACACAGCUGUCCUAGAAGACUCCCCUUGAUUUCACAGCCAUCUUGUGGGUGUCCACACACUUACAUUUGGCCUUUCUCUGAUGUGGUGUGAAAGACUUUGGCCCACUGCUGAAGACAGCAGAUCUAUGAGUCUACUGUGUAAAGGCUGAAUCCAGGUCUUUCAUUGACAACUUUUUUUCAUGCAAUAUUUUAGUUUUACGCUAAGAUACAGUCUUAAAAUUGAGCAAUUCCAGGCUUAGAUGUCACAUUAGGCAUGUUACGACCCCCAGUCGUAACUGCCCUUCGUUGUGCCUGUGGCCAUUUUGUGUGUUUUUCGAUUAUUAUGUUGUGUGCAGGUGCAUGUUUGGCCACUCGAGGGCACCUGGCAGUAUAAGAGAUGGCUUAGCUACCAUCUUGGGAGACUUUUUCCCUUUUGAUAUGAUCUGGAUGAACACCUGUCCAUACCAGCCAGGGACUCUUUACAUCUGUCUGAUAGGCUUUUCUGCUAUUAUCAAAAUGUGACUGUUUGAUAAUGCUCUGAGAGCCUGAGCUCUGCGAGCAAAUUUAUUGAGCAUUUGAAGUAAAUAAACGUGUCAUUUUCUGGUUUAAACGGUGUUCAUUGUCUGGUCUGACAGCAGGUCUGGGGAGAGAGCCCGCUCCCAGUGUCUGUUAUGGCCUGACUCUAGACUGAGUCGGACACAACAGUGUCUAAUGCAGAAACUUUGUAAUUAUUUUAAGCAGGCCUUGUUCACACCCUUUUUGGAUGACCCCCCCUUCUUGCUAGCUGAUUUACUGUAAGAUUAGAGGCAAAGUAAUGACAAUGGCUACCACAAGCAGUCUAAAUAUCUUUAUUUUGUAUACAUCUUAUUGCUGAUGAUUGGAUGUUUGUUUGGGAUUCUAAUUAGUUAAAUUACAAAUAAUCUCACCAUUCUGGAUUCAGGGCUCAUCUCAUGGUGCAGUAUUUCUUGUUUACCCCACUAACUUUGGGCUUAGUAGGAUUUAACCCUGGUGACUAGUUUGCUAAGAAGACCAGAAGUGCCUGGACCCAGAGACCCAGAGGCCCUAUUUGCACAAGUGCCAUAGGGUGCCCACUCCUCAGCAGCACACCCGCAGUCUGCUCCUCAGUAUACAGACAUGUGGACUCAAGUCAUGUGACUUGGACUCAAAUCCAACUCCCGUCACAAAUUUCAUGACUUUAGACUCAAGAAAACUGCGAAAGACUUGAGACUCAACUUUGACUUCAACACCAAUGACUCAGACUCUGACUCAGAUUUGUGCCUCAUGACUCAGAAAGACUCAAGACUCGAAGUGGAAGAAACAUGGACAGGGUCAGAUUGCAGAUGGAACUCAACUCAGUUGAUUCUUCUUCAUAUGAAUGGAUUCCUUUCCUGCUGCAAACUGAAUAAACAGCAAUGUCAUCAGAUGUCUGUUACUGUAUUUAUGCUUGGUUUAUUUCAGAAGAGCAAGAGCUCAAGUUCACCUCCAAAUGCUGGAAACAAGUGAAACAUCAACAGCAUUAGUGCACCCUCGUUCAGCACUUAAACUCUUACUGGAGAAACUGACCAGGCGAACUGAACCUUUUCCUCAUGGUAGUUAAACAAAAAAAAAACAGCUCUUUAUGUUCAACCAAUUUAGCAGCUUCUGCAGGUAAAAAAGUGCAACAUUCACCACAAGGCUGAAGUUGUCAAUGUUAUUCACCAGCUUAAUAGACGAGUUUGCCGUUCCACCUUAAAUAGUGCAGUAAUGAGGUGCCAGAAUGUAACUGCUGCACCAUUUAAAGUGGAAAGGAAAGUUAAAUGAAAACAUCAACUUCAGCUUCGUACAUUCACCAUCAUUCUAUGUGCCCAAUGUUCCCAAAAAUCAGCAAAAAUUAUAUAUAUAUAUAUAUAUAUAUAUAUAUAUAUAUAUAUAUAGCUUAGUAGUACUUUGUGGCAUGCGCUCGCCCCUGGCGAUGAUGGUCACGAAAGUCAGCACCAGUGUCCUCGUC